RNAcentral lists this ribosomal RNA (493 nucleotides) under uncultured bacterium. RNAcentral's name for it is "bacterial SSU rRNA". It matches the Rfam family "Bacterial small subunit ribosomal RNA", at positions 903 to 1397 of the family's 1533-position model. The record is from RNAcentral.
AAAGGAAUAGACGGGGACCCGCACAAGCAGCGGAGCAUGUGGUUUAAUUCGAAGAUACGCGAAGAACCUUACCAAGGCUUGACAUCCCGCGAUCGUCAUAGAAAUAUGAAAUUCCAGCAAUGGACGCGGAGACAGGUGGUGCAUGGUUGUCGUCAGCUCGUGUCGUGAGAUGUUCGGUUAAGUCCGGCAACGAGCGCAACCCUUAUGAUAUGUUGCCAAUAUUAAGUUAGGAACUCAUAUCAGACUGCCGUGGAUAACACGGAGGAAGGCGGGGACGACGUCAAAUCAUCAUGCCCCUUACGUCUUGGGCAACACACGUGCUACAAUGGGCGCUACAAAGAGCAGCAAGCCGGCAACGGCAAGCGAAUCUCAAAAAAGCGUUCUCAGUUCAGAUUGAGGGCUGCAACCCGCCCUCAUGAAGCAGGAGUUGCUAGUAAUCCCGAAUCAGAAUGUCGGGGUGAAUGCGUUCCCGGGUCUUGUACACACCGCCCGU